RNAcentral lists this ribosomal RNA (870 nucleotides) under uncultured bacterium. Its description in RNAcentral is "bacterial SSU rRNA". It matches the Rfam family "Bacterial small subunit ribosomal RNA", at positions 27 to 897 of the family's 1533-position model. The record is from RNAcentral.
GGAUGAACGCUAGCGGCAGGCCUAAUACAUGCAAGUCGGACGGGAUUGGUUAGCUUGCUAAUCAUGAGAGUGGCGCACGGGUGCGUAACACGUAUGUAACCUACCUUUACCAGGGGGAUAGCCUCUCGAAAGAGAGAUUAAGACCGCAUAAAAUUAUAUUGUGGCAUCACAAAGUAAUCAAAUAUUUAUAGGGUAAAGCUGGGCAUGCGGAACAUUAGCUGGUUGGUAAGGUAAUGGCUUACCAAGGCAACGAUGUUUAGGGGAUCUGAGAGGAUGGCCCCCCACACUGGUACUGAGACACGGACCAGACUCCUACGGGAGGCAGCAGUAAGGAAUAUUGGUCAAUGGGCGGAAGCCUGAACCAGCCAUGCCGCGUGCAGGAAGACGGCCCUACGGGUUGUAAACUGCUUUUGCAGGGGAAUAAACCCCCGGACGCGUCCGGGGCUGAAUGUACCCUGAGAAUAAGGAUCGGCUAACUCCGUGCCAGCAGCCGCGGUAAUACGGAGGAUCCGAGCGUUAUCCGGAUUUAUUGGGUUUAAAGGGUGCGUAGGCGGCCUUGUAAGUCAGGGGUGAAAGACGGUAGCUCAACUAUCGCAGUGCCUUUGAUACUGCAGGGCUUGAAUGUACUUGAGGUAGGCGGAAUGUGACAAGUAGCGGUGAAAUGCAUAGAUAUGUCACAGAACACCAAUUGCGAAGGCAGCUUACUAAAGUAUGAUUGACGCUGAGGCACGAAAGCGUGGGGAUCAAACAGGAUUAGAUACCCUGGUAGUCCACGCCCUAAACGAUGAACACUCGAUGUUGGCGAUAUACAGUCAGCGUCAAAGCGAAAGCGUUAAGUGUUCCACCUGGGGAGUACGCCCGCAAGGGUGA